Molecule: long non-coding RNA, 1220 nt
Organism: Oncorhynchus gorbuscha (pink salmon)
Lineage: Eukaryota; Metazoa; Chordata; Actinopteri; Salmoniformes; Salmonidae
Exons: 3
Source: RefSeq, a predicted model, not a curated record
GUGUGUGAAGAAGCUCGGUUUGGCGGACGUCAUGUUUCGGAGGACGUAUGACUUGACCUUCGCCUCCCCAGCCCGUUGGAGAGUUGCAAAGAUGAGACAAGUUCGAAAUUGGGGAGAAAAAACGGGGGUAAUUUUUGUUUUUAAAUAUAUAAAAAAGGUUAUUAAAAAAAGGUUGCAUAAGUGACCGUGUCAGAACAAAAUGAACUCAAACGUUUUUCCAUUUGAACACUUGAUGUAAUUAAAUCAAACGUUUUACCAUUGGGACGCUUGAUUUAAUUAAGUAAUUAUUAUUUUCGGAUAUAAAGACGACGCUGUAUCAACAAAAAAACGGAUUGCAACUUGCAAAACAUCUGGGAAGAAAAUUACAGACGGAGGCGCACCAACUUCCAACUUUGUUCGCCAUUUGAAGCUGCACAAAGAACGGUCUGGUGUUGGAGAUCAUUCUACACACUGUGUUCUACUACCCAGUUUUACCUUUUUUGGAAGAGAGCGGGAAUGCAGAUGGCGCAAAAUUCUUCAAAUAUGUUGGUCCCAGGGAUCGGGCUGGCGAAUACGGUUCGCUUUGUGUGGCAGGACAAGGAGAUGGAGCCAUUCGGACGUGUAACUUUUGGAAGGACUGUCUUAAUGUGGAUCCUUAAACUGACAGGGAAGGAUGGGAACUUAUGAUGUGGCUUUACACACAGAAGAAAAACACGACGAGAUCCUGAAAGAGGUGAGAGAAGUGGGAGGUGCGAGGCCGAUGUGCCACUACGAGGUAACCAGCUUGCCAAAAAACAAUAAAAACAAUUUCAGGAUUGUAAAUGAACAUGUAUAGCCCGUACGUCAAGGACAAGGAGGUGAGGGCCUUUCUGGGGAGAUACAUGGAUGGCAUCUCCUCAGCAAGGCACCUCAAAGACUCCCUGGGUUUUUGGAACGGGAGGAGAGACUUCCAGGCCCUCCUCAGGGAGGACCCAAAGGGACUGGGCGGCUACCUUCAUCCUCCAGCUAUGUUCUCCCUGGGGGCUGACAGGGGGACAUUGUUUUAAGCACAGCCCCCUGUCUGGCCUACGGCCACAUCCUAGCCUCGUGCAGCACAAGAAAGUGCAGAUUUUGUGGAUCUGGAGAGCUGAGGUGAAGGACUGUGACGAGCUCAAGGCGUGCCACGGGUGUGGCUCGUCAGCACACACCCGUCAAAGGUCACACCUGUGACCUUGCCCGGCUCGUCAAAUGUCAUAUGUGUC